Molecule: ribosomal RNA, 549 nt
Filed under: uncultured Glomus
Lineage: Eukaryota; Fungi; Glomeromycota; Glomeromycetes; Glomerales; Glomeraceae
Description: SSU rRNA
Rfam family: Eukaryotic small subunit ribosomal RNA
Source: RNAcentral
UUGGAGGGCAAGUCUGGUGCCAGCAGCCGCGGUAAUUCCAGCUCCAAUAGCGUAUAUUAAAGUUGUUGCAGUUAAAAAGCUCGUAGUUGAAUUUCGGGAUUAGUACGUCGGUCGUGCCUUAGGUACGUACUGGUGUUACUGGUUCCUACCUUCUGACGAACCAUCAUGUCAUUAACUUGGUGUUGCGGGGAAUCAGGACUGUUACUUUGAAAAAAUUAGAGUGUUUAAAGCAGGCAAACGCUUGAAUACAUUAGCAUGGAAUAAUGAAAUAGGACGUUUGAUCUUAUUUUGUUGGUUUCUAGGAUCGACGUAAUGAUUAAUAGGGAUAGUUGGGGGCAUUAGUAUUCAAUUGUCAGAGGUGAAAUUCUUGGAUUUAUUGAAGACUAACUACUGCGAAAGCAUUUGCCAAGGAUGUUUUCAUUAAUCAAGAACGGAAGUUAGGGGAUCGAAGACGAUCAGAUACCGUCGUAGUCUUAACCAUAAACUAUGCCGACUAGGGAUCGGAUGAUGUUAAUUUUUUAAUGACUCAUUCGGCGCCUUACGGGAAAC